GGGGUUGUAGCUCAGUGGUAGAGUGCUCGCCUAGCAUGUGUGAGGCACAGGGUUUAAACCUCAGCACCA
RNAcentral lists this transfer RNA (69 nucleotides) under Ictidomys tridecemlineatus (thirteen-lined ground squirrel). Its description in RNAcentral is "Spermophilus tridecemlineatus (thirteen-lined ground squirrel) tRNA". It matches the Rfam family "tRNA". From Rfam's summary of the family: Transfer RNA (tRNA) molecules are approximately 80 nucleotides in length. Lineage: Eukaryota; Metazoa; Chordata; Mammalia; Rodentia; Sciuridae. The record is from Rfam by way of RNAcentral.